This 247-nucleotide long non-coding RNA is filed under the name Elaeis guineensis (African oil palm). Its description in RNAcentral is "long non-coding RNA (EGUI_LNC025228)". Lineage: Eukaryota; Viridiplantae; Streptophyta; Magnoliopsida; Arecales; Arecaceae. The record is from RNAcentral.
UCCCCAUCAGUCUUGUUCCUCUAAAUCUUUGUUCCGUCCUGUAUACUGGUAGGUAUAUAAUACACAGAAUUUUCUCACAAGUUCAGUAGAAUUGUAACCGGUGCCUAAUAAUCUUACAGAACGUUGUUUUGUUUUUCCCAGAUGUUAUAAGUGAAUUUAUACUAGAAGAAAAUCCAAAAUCCAAAGCAGAUAGAAUACAUCUCAUCUUAAAUUCGAAAGUUUUACAACCCAAACUACAAUCUGCAGC